GUGCUUGCAGGAUAAGAUGACAGCUAAGGAGAGUGCUACUUGGCUUGCUAUUAUCAAUCAAGAAGAGGCUUUGGCUCGUAAGCUGUAUCCUGACAGCUAUCCACAGGGAUCUCUAGCUGUUGGUAAUGGUUCCUUUUUCAUCAGCGAUGCUAGCGAUUACGAUGUGGAAGGAGUGGAUAACGAGAGAAACAAUGAAGUGGAAUGUAAACCCCAUGACAUCAAUCUCCAAACUGGAAUUAUGUUACCUAAAGAUAGGGUUUUGAUGCCAGGUUUAGCUCCAGUGAAAGGAGAAAUUAUUGAUUUAACUUCCGAUUUUAUCCAGAAGAGGAAGGAACCAUGUUUUGAGGAGUCUGUUGAUCAAAAGAUAUAUACUUGUGAGUACCUUCACUGCCCAUACAGCAAUUAUCAAGCUGGAUUCCUUGACAGGACUUCAAGAAACAACCACCAAAUGAGUUGUCCAUUCCGGUUCAAUUCUGCUCAAACACUUACUACACCUAAGUAUCAGAUCAACUAUGAGCACAACACAGUUUUUCCUGCACAAACUGCAACUUCUAAGCCAGCGGUCUCGUCAGUCACUGCUUCCUCUUCGAUGAGUGCCUCGGGGCUUGGACUCCCUGAAGAUGAUCAGAGGAUCAUUUCUGACCUCAUAACAUCAUACGACAACAACUUUCAGCAAAAUGGUAGCAUCUGUUCCGGAAUUUCUGAGAUUCUAGUAAACCAAAGCCUGCCUCAGCAACAAACAGUUGAACUUCCCAUGGAUGGCAACAUCAACCUAGGACAUAUGGAGACCUCAGCUCAAGAAACCAGCAUGCCUGUUUAUCGUUCAACAGAGUUUCAAUAUGAUCAAUGCAAAAUGUCCUUUGACGCCCCCUUCGGUGGAAACAUAAAUGAUAUAACUGAUUACAGAUUCGGUUCCCCGUUCAACUUGGGAGGAAGCGACUACGCCGUGGAACAGCUGACAAAGCAGGAUAUAUCUACAUGGUACCUCUGAACUAGUACUAGUAUUAAACUGUCUUAUUUCCUAUAUGAAGGCUUGAUAGGUUGUAUAUGUUUAGAUAAGUGAUCAACUCUCUGUCCUUUAUAUAUACAGGUAUUGUAGUUUCUUUGUGAUGUAGUUGAUGUUUCCAUGGUUGUAAGUGCUAAACACAAUAAUUA
RNAcentral lists this unclassified non-coding RNA (1155 nucleotides) under Hevea brasiliensis (rubber tree). The record is from RNAcentral. Lineage: Eukaryota; Viridiplantae; Streptophyta; Magnoliopsida; Malpighiales; Euphorbiaceae.